RNAcentral lists this non-coding RNA (236 nucleotides) under Liquorilactobacillus vini. RNAcentral describes it as "Lactobacillus vini T-box sequence". It matches the Rfam family "T-box leader". From Rfam's summary of the family: Uncharged tRNA acts as the effector for transcription antitermination of genes in the T-box leader family. The record is from RNAcentral. Lineage: Bacteria; Bacillati; Bacillota; Bacilli; Lactobacillales; Lactobacillaceae.
UAAAACAUUUUGAAGAGUAGAGUACAAAAUGAAUUUUCUAAGAGAGCUUCAGGUUGGUGUGAUGGAGUGAAAUGAAAUUUUGGAAGAUGGACUCGGAAUGGUGACGGUGAUUGUUUAGCCGUUGACGUGGUUGCGAACGUUAUAACCGCAAGAUUAUACUUGAAAAAGUGUAGUCUACUGAGGCAGUUAGAAUAGCUGCAAACCAAGGUGGUACCACGAUAAAGUUCGUCCUUAAU